This 2259-nucleotide ribosomal RNA is filed under the name Staphylococcus aureus. RNAcentral's name for it is "partial 23S ribosomal RNA". It matches the Rfam family "Bacterial large subunit ribosomal RNA", at positions 444 to 2707 of the family's 2925-position model. Lineage: Bacteria; Bacillati; Bacillota; Bacilli; Caryophanales; Staphylococcaceae. RNAcentral also lists the same sequence under 1 other name. The record is from RNAcentral.
CUGGGAGGACCAUCUCCUAAGGCUAAAUACUCUCUAGUGACCGAUAGUGAACCAGUACCGUGAGGGAAAGGUGAAAAGCACCCCGGAAGGGGAGUGAAAUAGAACCUGAAACCGUGUGCUUACAAGUAGUCAGAGCCCGUUAAUGGGUGAUGGCGUGCCUUUUGUAGAAUGAACCGGCGAGUUACGAUUUGAUGCAAGGUUAAGCAGUAAAUGUGGAGCCGUAGCGAAAGCGAGUCUGAAUAGGGCGUUUAGUAUUUGGUCGUAGACCCGAAACCAGGUGAUCUACCCUUGGUCAGGUUGAAGUUCAGGUAACACUGAAUGGAGGACCGAACCGACUUACGUUGAAAAGUGAGCGGAUGAACUGAGGGUAGCGGAGAAAUUCCAAUCGAACCUGGAGAUAGCUGGUUCUCUCCGAAAUAGCUUUAGGGCUAGCCUCAAGUGAUGAUUAUUGGAGGUAGAGCACUGUUUGGACGAGGGGCCCCUCUCGGGUUACCGAAUUCAGACAAACUCCGAAUGCCAAUUAAUUUAACUUGGGAGUCAGAACAUGGGUGAUAAGGUCCGUGUUCGAAAGGGAAACAGCCCAGACCACCAGCUAAGGUCCCAAAAUAUAUGUUAAGUGGAAAAGGAUGUGGCGUUGCCCAGACAACUAGGAUGUUGGCUUAGAAGCAGCCAUCAUUUAAAGAGUGCGUAAUAGCUCACUAGUCGAGUGACACUGCGCCGAAAAUGUACCGGGGCUAAACAUAUUACCGAAGCUGUGGAUUGUCCUUUGGACAAUGGUAGGAGAGCGUUCUAAGGGCGUUGAAGCAUGAUCGUAAGGACAUGUGGAGCGCUUAGAAGUGAGAAUGCCGGUGUGAGUAGCGAAAGACGGGUGAGAAUCCCGUCCACCGAUUGACUAAGGUUUCCAGAGGAAGGCUCGUCCGCUCUGGGUUAGUCGGGUCCUAAGCUGAGGCCGACAGGCGUAGGCGAUGGAUAACAGGUUGAUAUUCCUGUACCACCUAUAAUCGUUUUAAUCGAUGGGGGGACGCAGUAGGAUAGGCGAAGCGUGCGAUUGGAUUGCACGUCUAAGCAGUAAGGCUGAGUAUUAGGCAAAUCCGGUACUCGUUAAGGCUGAGCUGUGAUGGGGAGAAGACAUUGUGUCUUCGAGUCGUUGAUUUCACACUGCCGAGAAAAGCCUCUAGAUAGAAAAUAGGUGCCCGUACCGCAAACCGACACAGGUAGUCAAGAUGAGAAUUCUAAGGUGAGCGAGCGAACUCUCGUUAAGGAACUCGGCAAAAUGACCCCGUAACUUCGGGAGAAGGGGUGCUCUUUAGGGUUAACGCCCAGAAGAGCCGCAGUGAAUAGGCCCAAGCGACUGUUUAUCAAAAACACAGGUCUCUGCUAAACCGUAAGGUGAUGUAUAGGGGCUGACGCCUGCCCGGUGCUGGAAGGUUAAGAGGAGUGGUUAGCUUCUGCGAAGCUACGAAUCGAAGCCCCAGUAAACGGCGGCCGUAACUAUAACGGUCCUAAGGUAGCGAAAUUCCUUGUCGGGUAAGUUCCGACCCGCACGAAAGGCGUAACGAUUUGGGCACUGUCUCAACGAGAGACUCGGUGAAAUCAUAGUACCUGUGAAGAUGCAGGUUACCCGCGACAGGACGGAAAGACCCCGUGGAGCUUUACUGUAGCCUGAUAUUGAAAUUCGGCACAGCUUGUACAGGAUAGGUAGGAGCCUUUGAAACGUGAGCGCUAGCUUACGUGGAGGCGCUGGUGGGAUACUACCCUAGCUGUGUUGGCUUUCUAACCCGCACCACUUAUCGUGGUGGGAGACAGUGUCAGGCGGGCAGUUUGACUGGGGCGGUCGCCUCCUAAAAGGUAACGGAGGCGCUCAAAGGUUCCCUCAGAAUGGUUGGAAAUCAUUCAUAGAGUGUAAAGGCAUAAGGGAGCUUGACUGCGAGACCUACAAGUCGAGCAGGGUCGAAAGACGGACUUAGUGAUCCGGUGGUUCCGCAUGGAAGGGCCAUCGCUCAACGGAUAAAAGCUACCCCGGGGAUAACAGGCUUAUCUCCCCCAAGAGUUCACAUCGACGGGGAGGUUUGGCACCUCGAUGUCGGCUCAUCGCAUCCUGGGGCUGUAGUCGGUCCCAAGGGUUGGGCUGUUCGCCCAUUAAAGCGGUACGCGAGCUGGGUUCAGAACGUCGUGAGACAGUUCGGUCCCUAUCCGUCGUGGGCGUAGGAAAUUUGAGAGGAGCUGUCCUUAGUACGAGAGGACCGGGAUGGACAUACC